This 232-nucleotide non-coding RNA is filed under the name Caldanaerobius fijiensis. RNAcentral's name for it is "T-box sequence". It matches the Rfam family "T-box leader". From Rfam's summary of the family: Uncharged tRNA acts as the effector for transcription antitermination of genes in the T-box leader family. T-boxes are found upstream of many aminoacyl-tRNA synthetase genes and some amino acid biosynthetic genes usually in Gram-positive bacteria. The anticodon of a specific tRNA base pairs to a specifier sequence within the T-box motif, and the NCCA acceptor tail of the tRNA base pairs to a conserved bulge in the T-box antiterminator hairpin. The record is from RNAcentral. Lineage: Bacteria; Bacillati; Bacillota; Clostridia; Thermoanaerobacterales; Thermoanaerobacteraceae.
AUAAAAGCUAUGAAGGAGACGGAUAUACACUUAAAAACUAUAGAGAGCCGGGGUUGGUGGAAACCGGUGUUGCGGUGUAUAUCUAACUCACUCUGGAGCUGCAUGGCUGAAGUGGUAGUAGGUCAUGCCGUGCGCCUGCGUUAAAAGGUAAGGUUUUAAAACCUGAUGAGGCCCAUGUCGUGAGGCAUGGGUGGAUUAGGGUGGUACCGCGAGCUUAACCCUCGCCCCUAUA